Molecule: long non-coding RNA, 1275 nt
Organism: Podarcis muralis (Common wall lizard)
Lineage: Eukaryota; Metazoa; Chordata; Lepidosauria; Squamata; Lacertidae
Source: RefSeq, a predicted model, not a curated record
GGGGGAGUUAGAAUUGAGGUUUUCGAAUAUGGGCUUUGCCCUCCUUCUUUGUGCGCGUUUCUCUCUCCCCGCUCAAACGCCGUGGCGGCUUCGUUCAAGGGAAGCACCUUUAUGUUAACCACGCUAGCCUUGAUUAAUAAUGACACAACACCGUGAAUUGCCGCUGACAUUUAUGGUAAUUUAUACUUGCGUCAUGGUAAUAGUACCUUAUUAACUUGGUGAAGUGAAGUAGGGCUGAGGGAGCAAGUGAGGCGGGGCAGAAAGGCUGUUGUUUCAGUCAGGAAAGUCGGUUAGUUCCCUGAAGGUUGGGAGCGAGAGACAAGAGGAGGCCCGGCUGAGUUUCAGAAGACAGACAGCCACGUCUGCUUUGUCCUCUUUCCUGCCUCCGUUUCCAAACUUCUUUCACCACCAGAAAACAACUCCGCACUUCUGAGAACUGCUCCUCAACAUUUCUCUCGGCGUCUGCAAUGGCGCCCCUAAAGGUUUCGCGCUGCUAAGCCACAGGUUCAGCUUGGGACCUUCUCUUGCCCUAUAUGGCUUCGAAAGUCAGCCCCGAAGGGAAACUCCCCCGGGGAAGGACUUCUUGACUCGCAGCUGCAGUAGCAGAAGCCGCUGCUGGGUGCACUUAAUCUCUAUCUCAAUUCUGGGCAUGCCUACCUUACAACGCUCUUAGAGGCUGCUGCACAUCAACUUACAGCAUUUGAAAAGGAGAUCGUGAGUUACUCAGGAGUGGUUGGCAGGAGCUGGGACGAACAACAGGAGCUUACCCCGCCACGGGACCUCGAACCACCGACCUUCCAAGCGGCAAGUCCAAGCUGCACAGUGGUUUAAACCACAGCACCACCCGCGUCCCAUUAGAUAAACCCUAAUGCGUUGGAGAGGUUGUGGUAUGGUUGGUACAUACUUCCAUAUGUGAUAGAUUGUCCCCAGGUACAAGUGUUUUGGGAGUUGUUAUGCCAAUAGAUUUGUGCGAUUACUGGUCAAUGGAUACAUCCAUCUCCAGCAUUCAUGAUGUUCAAUAUGUUUGUGGAUAGAAAUUUAGAUGGUAAUCAUAAAGAAUUGUUGAGUCAUUUACUCUUGACUGCAGAAGCAGUUGUAGCUCAGAAUUGGAAGACACAUCGCAAUGUAAAUAUUGACCAGUGGUGCAGCCUGUUAUGUUAUGUUAACUUACCUUUCACAUCUGUUUUGUUUUGCUUUAUCUUAAAUUUGUAUUUUCAAAAGCUUUAUCCCACUUGUAAAUGUCUAAAAGAAAAAUAAAGGCAUAUCUCACAUGAA